CCUACGGGAGGCAGCAGUGAGGAAUAUUGGUCAAUGGACGAGAGUCUGAACCAGCCAAGUAGCGUGAAGGAUGACUGCCCUAUGGGUUGUAAGCUUCUUUUAUAAAGGAAUAAAACGAGGCACGUGUGCCUUUUCGCAUGUACUUUAUGAAUAAAGAUAGGCUAACUCCGUGCCAGCAGCGGCGGUAAUACGGAGGAUCCGAGCGUUACCCGGAUUGAUUGGGUUUAAAGGGAGCGUAGAUGGGUUGUUAAGUCAGUUGUGAAAGUUUGCGGCUCAACCGUAAAAUUGCAAUUGAUACUGGCAGUCUUGAGUACAGUUGAGGUAGGCGGAAUUCGUGGUGUAGCGGUGAAAUGCUUAGAUAUCACGAAGAACCCCGAUUGCGAAGGCAGCUUACUAAACUGUGACUGACAUUGAUGCUCGAAAGUGUGGGUAGCAAACAGGAUUAGAUACCCCAGUAGUC
Molecule: ribosomal RNA, 460 nt
Filed under: uncultured bacterium
Lineage: Bacteria
Description: partial 16S ribosomal RNA
Rfam family: Bacterial small subunit ribosomal RNA
Source: RNAcentral